Molecule: long non-coding RNA, 533 nt
Filed under: Setaria viridis
Lineage: Eukaryota; Viridiplantae; Streptophyta; Magnoliopsida; Poales; Poaceae
Description: long non-coding RNA (SVIR_LNC007400)
Source: RNAcentral
GAGGGAGUAGCUACUAGCUGGUGCAUUGUGCACUUGUGCGUACGUGAUUGUUGUGCAAACGGUUAAUUUGUUACGGUAUGUUACUUGUAUAUUAUCAUCGGUAAUACGUGUAGUGGCACUUGGAACGAUUGAACGAACGGUUGUUUCAGAAAACCUUCUAUAUAGGCUGCUUUGCAUCGUUCGCGACAACUUAGCAGACAGAGCACAUAUGGGAGUCUUUGCGAGGUUGGUUGAAGGAACUGGCUAGGGGCAUGCAUACAUCCAGGUGCAAUGGAAAUUAUGUAAGCUACCAUUAGAUGCAAAGUGCAAUGGACAAAAGAGCUGGAGUACUACCACAGUUCAAUGUCUCGCGCGUAUGAAAAUAUUAUCGGUCUCAGUAGGGAAUCGGAGGGAGGUUUAGUUCAUAACUUCAUAUUGUUCAACUUUGAUGCGUCUCCUCAGACAACCAGCGGUAAACUCUCAAUAACAACCAGCAGGUUCAUUACAUGGGCCAAGCCCAACAUGCAAUAGGCUUGUAGGCCCAAAACUCGAAC